CUUUACAAUGCGGGCAACCGUGAUAAGGGAACCUCGAGUGCCUGUACAUGCAGGCUGUUCAGGUGUCUAAACACACCUGAAGAAAGGGCCGGGCAAGACCGGUGCCAGCCGCCGCGGUAAUACCGGCGGCUCGAGUGGUGGCCACUUUUAUUGGGCUUAAAGGGUCCGUAGCUUGAUGUACAAGUCUCUUGAGAAAUCCGCCGGCUUAACCGGUGGCGUUCAGGGGAAACUGUAUUUCUAGGGACCGGAGAGGUGAGAGGUACUGCCGGGUAGGAGUGAAAUCCUGUAAUCCCGGUGGGACCACCUAUGGCGAAGGCAUCUCACCAGAACGGGUCCGACAGUGAGGGACGAAAGCUGGGGGA
RNAcentral lists this ribosomal RNA (362 nucleotides) under uncultured archaeon. RNAcentral describes it as "bacterial SSU rRNA". It matches the Rfam family "Archaeal small subunit ribosomal RNA", at positions 348 to 718 of the family's 1478-position model. The record is from RNAcentral.